GGCCUGGAUACAAAGGCUUUUCUUACAGUUACACUAUUCGAACUUUUGCUUGUACAUGCAACAAACCUCUUCAAAGUCGUUGUUAAAGCUUCCUUUUAAAGCACCUUGCCAAAAUUCUCGUUCCGUGUUUUUAGCGCCGCAUACAAACCUUCGAAUGUUUGUGAAGGACGUACUGGUGAAUACUACUUCAAACCCGUGAUUGUGGAAAUUUUAUAAACAAUAGGCUACUGUAAACCCGUGACUGCACAGACUUCAGAAACUGGGGACUAAUUUAAAGCUGUGAUGACGACACUCGUCUAUGUGUCAUGUUUUUUUUUUUUAAUUUCCAAGACUUGCCUUGUGGCUUAAAACAGGUGAAACGUGCAUGUUAUAUGUACAUAACAAAGGGGGGGGGGGGAACUAUAUGUCCGAAAACGGCAGACAGGUGUAGGGUGGGAAAAGUGUAACAAUCGCUUAUCCGGCUUUUGGCUAUAGCCAAAGGUUAGAUGGCACAAUGUGGUCAAAUUGGAUCUAUCAAGUUAUUUUUGAGAUGGUCUUUAUCUCGGAUAUCCUGUAGCGCCCCUAAAUGUCCUCACGUCAUACCCUCCUGCCACUUCAAAGUGAGAUGUUCCUCGUUUAUAUUUGUGUUGUUAUGACUGCAUGCAAUGUGUGUUCGAUGUGUAUGUUGCUACUUUGUGUAAUUCUUUGUAUGGUACGUGACUUUCGUCGGCGUGUGACUAUGUGUAUCAUUGUGACAAUUGACAAGCGGUAGCGCACAGGACUGUGAAGUGUCAUUGAAUAGAUAGUGAAAUGGCAUGUCUGUGAAUGUGUUCUGUACCGCGCUUGUGAAUAAAAGAGAAAAAAAUCAA
Molecule: long non-coding RNA, 848 nt
Filed under: Dermacentor andersoni
Lineage: Eukaryota; Metazoa; Arthropoda; Arachnida; Ixodida; Ixodidae
Description: uncharacterized LOC126538269
Source: RNAcentral